UUAAUGCUUUUCAUUGGCUGAUAUGCAUUUUGUGCACGAGAACCUAUUUAAACUUGUACUGCGUAACAAUGUGUAUACAGGUGUUUUUGAAGACCCCUCUGGCAAGAAUGCACAUUUUUUUCUAGAUUUGAACACCAAAUACCUGAAUCCCCAGCUCUCAUUGGUAGUCGCCACUGGGGUGACGUAGCGUCAACAUCCGCUCUUAGACUUUGUGUCUGUGUUAUCUAGUGGAAACCUAGUGUCGCCAAUUUUACUUUGUGGCUGUGGUAAAUAGUGACAAUAGGGACAGAGUAGGAAAUUUGAGACUGGAUGCCGAUGCGAUAACAGUUACGGACAAGAGUGAAGAUAACUCGAUUCCAUUUUAGCAACAGUGUCUUCAGAACUGGAUUCUAGUUCUGAAGAGCUGCAUACCAUGCAGGGCUGCAGAAAGAACUGGACAGGAAGACCUUGAAAGGGCUGCCCGAAUGCAAGAAGACAGGCUGUCAGAGAUGAAGUCUAAAUUACAAGAGCUGUCCUUUGAAGAAAGGGGAGAUGUUCUGGAGCUGGCCGCUUCCCAUAGAUCUGGAGCGAUUUUUGACAUCAUGGAGUACCAGAGAGCUAUCCCAGGGACUCCGGACAACCUCGCUGGCACACCUGCAUGAAUUGCAGGGAGACUCCUGCACCUUACAUCACACAACUGCUGCCAUUUCACCACUGCAACAUACCAUUGAUGUAUUACUAAGUAUGUUUCCAUAACAGGCUAACACUUCCCACAACUACUCUGUACUUUAUUCUUCAAUUGGAUCCCAAUUAGGAAAAAAAUACACCAUUUAAUGAUGUCUUUGUAAGUCUGUUUUUUUUUUCUUGGUCUGGGUGGUAUUAGUUCAGUACUUUAUCAAAAUGUUUCCCAUGUUUCCCUUACACUGUGUUUUUGUUAUUUUGAGGAAAGUUUCAUCGACUACCUUGUAUUCUUGUUUAUCUCCCUAAUAAAACUAUUUGACCUGA
This is a long non-coding RNA of Oncorhynchus nerka (sockeye salmon), 984 nucleotides long. RefSeq lists it as uncharacterized. The transcript is spliced from 3 exons. NCBI's taxonomy places the organism in Eukaryota, Metazoa, Chordata, Actinopteri, Salmoniformes, Salmonidae. The record is from RefSeq and is a predicted model, not a curated record.